GUCUUUAGAACUUCUAUUUUAAUCUUACCUCUGAAAUCUUUGGAUUCAACCUUGUUACAGCAGCUGUUCUCAACAUGAUCAUGCCAUUCCUAGCAAUUUAUUCAUUGCUAGCUGAUAUUACUGUCUCCUCUACUGCUUAGUUGCCGUCUCACAUUGUUGUCGGGACUUGUGAUGCGAUAAUCUCUGCCCUAAGCAUUCAAGCAUACUGUUCUUCUUUGUCUUGUAUAUGAUAUAUAUUCAUUUUAUGAGGUCAUUAUGGUUGAGUUCCCACUCACUUUCAUAAACACAAUUUUCAUCAAUCUCCUAGGUGAUUUUGCCCAAACAUUUGUCCUGAUCUUGCAUUAUCUUUGUCCUCAACCACCUCCAUUACUGUAUAAAAAUGCCACAAUCAACUGUUUGUGUUAAUAUUAGGAGUUUUGAUCAUUGUACCAUCUAAUUCAUCCCAAUCUCAUCUUUUCUGCCUCCAAACGCGGCCUUCACCUACAUUCUUUUUGGCAAUUAGGUUAGGGACCGCACUUGAUUUGUUACGUUUUCAACAUUACAUUCAAUGCUAGUACGGGCAUAUGGUACAUACUCAUUGGUCUGCUUGUUUUAUGCCAAUAUUGAGUCUGCAGACCCUGGAAGAAUGAUUAAUAUUGGCUAAAUGCAUGUGAUAUUCAAAUUUAUGCCACGUAGUACAUAUGCUUUGAUCACUAAGUAUACUUUCACAUCAGGAAAGUCAGCAUCAAGUUUGGCCAAUAUCUAAUCUAUCAUGGAUGUCUGGUAUGCUUGCACUCAGAAAAUUUAUAUAAAUUAGUGUUGAAAGGCUUAUUUACAGCUUUUAUUUGUAUUUACUAUAUUCUGGUCAUGAAAUACAAGUGUGCCAUGGGUAUUUUCAUAGCCUAUGCUUUCUAUUGAAGCUGACUGGAUCAGAAAAAAUCUGGCAGGCAUAUUGCUUCAGAAUGCACCACAAAAUCACUCUGUUGGAACUGUCGGGAACCUGGGCACAUGGCCAGCCAU
This 999-nucleotide unclassified non-coding RNA is filed under the name Hevea brasiliensis (rubber tree). The record is from RNAcentral. Lineage: Eukaryota; Viridiplantae; Streptophyta; Magnoliopsida; Malpighiales; Euphorbiaceae.